AUGGCUUUCUCGCAAAGGACUG
Molecule: small nuclear RNA, 22 nt
Filed under: Arabidopsis thaliana (thale cress)
Lineage: Eukaryota; Viridiplantae; Streptophyta; Magnoliopsida; Brassicales; Brassicaceae
Description: snRNA_01141
Source: RNAcentral